Molecule: ribosomal RNA, 130 nt
Filed under: Vibrio tasmaniensis
Lineage: Bacteria; Pseudomonadati; Pseudomonadota; Gammaproteobacteria; Vibrionales; Vibrionaceae
Also listed under: 1 other name
Description: partial 23S ribosomal RNA
Rfam family: Bacterial large subunit ribosomal RNA (bases 1-112)
Source: RNAcentral
CGCUAUAAGUGUCCUAAAGGGUUGUCGUAGACUACGACGUUGAUAGGCAGGGUGUGUAAGUGCUGCGAGGCAUUGAGCUAACCUGUACUAAUUGCCCGUGAGGCUUAACCAUACAACACCCAAGGGGUUU